RNAcentral lists this ribosomal RNA (117 nucleotides) under Acidimicrobiales bacterium. The record is from RNAcentral. Lineage: Bacteria; Bacillati; Actinomycetota; Acidimicrobiia; Acidimicrobiales.
CUCGGUAGCGAUAGCGCUGGGGUCACACCUGUUCCCAUUCCGAACACAGAAGUUAAGUCCAGCUGCGCCGAUGGUACUUGGGACGAACGUCCCUGGGAGAGUAGGUCGCCGCCGGUU